AUGCCGCGUGAGUGAUGAAGGCCUUAGGGUCGUAAAGCUCUUUCGCCAGAGAUGAUAAUGACAGUAUCUGGUAAAGAAACCCCGGCUAACUCCGUGCCAGCAGCCGCGGUAAUACGGAGGGGGUUAGCGUUGUUCGGAAUUACUGGGCGUAAAGCGCACGUAGGCGGAUCAGAAAGUAUGAGGUGAAAUCCCAGGGCUCAACCCUGGAACUGCCUUGUAAACUCCUGGUCUUGAGUUCGAGAGAGGUGAGUGGAAUUCCGAGUGUAGAGGUGAAAUUCGUAGAUAUUCGGAGGAACACCAGUGGCGAAGGCGGCUCACUGGCUCGAUACUGACGCUGAGGUGCGAAAGUGUGGGGAGCAAACAGGAUUAGAUACCCUGGUAGUCCACACCGUAAACGAUGAAUGCCAGACGUCAGCAAGCAUGCUUGUUGGUGUCACACCUAACGGAUUAAGCAUUCCGCCUGGGGAGUACGGUCGC
RNAcentral lists this ribosomal RNA (477 nucleotides) under uncultured Alphaproteobacteria bacterium. Its description in RNAcentral is "bacterial SSU rRNA". It matches the Rfam family "Bacterial small subunit ribosomal RNA", at positions 394 to 889 of the family's 1533-position model. The record is from RNAcentral. Lineage: Bacteria; Pseudomonadati; Pseudomonadota; Alphaproteobacteria.